This 1362-nucleotide ribosomal RNA is filed under the name Escherichia coli. RNAcentral describes it as "partial 23S ribosomal RNA". It matches the Rfam family "Bacterial large subunit ribosomal RNA", at positions 174 to 1578 of the family's 2925-position model. Lineage: Bacteria; Pseudomonadati; Pseudomonadota; Gammaproteobacteria; Enterobacterales; Enterobacteriaceae. The record is from RNAcentral.
AUGAGGCGAACCGGGGGAACUGAAACAUCUAAGUACCCCGAGGAAAAGAAAUCAACCGAGAUUCCCCCAGUAGCGGCGAGCGAACGGGGAGCAGCCCAGAGCCUGAAUCAGUAUGUGUGUUAGUGGAAGCGUCUGGAAAGGCGCGCGAUACAGGGUGACAGCCCCGUACACAAAAAUGCACAUGCUGUGAGCUCGAUGAGUAGGGCGGGACACGUGGUAUCCUGUCUGAAUAUGGGGGGACCAUCCUCCAAGGCUAAAUACUCCUGACUGACCGAUAGUGAACCAGUACCGUGAGGGAAAGGCGAAAAGAACCCCGGCGAGGGGAGUGAAAAAGAACCUGAAACCGUGUACGUACAAGCAGUGGGAGCACGCUUAGGCGUGUGACUGCGUACCUUUUGUAUAAUGGGUCAGCGACUUAUAUUCUGUAGCAAGGUUAACCGAAUAGGGGAGCCGAAGGGAAACCGAGUCUUAACUGGGCGUUAAGUUGCAGGGUAUAGACCCGAAACCCGGUGAUCUAGCCAUGGGCAGGUUGAAGGUUGGGUAACACUAACUGGAGGACCGAACCGACUAAUGUUGAAAAAUUAGCGGAUGACUUGUGGCUGGGGGUGAAAGGCCAAUCAAACCGGGAGAUAGCUGGUUCUCCCCGAAAGCUAUUUAGGUAGCGCCUCGUGAAUUCAUCUCCGGGGGUAGAGCACUGUUUCGGCAAGGGGGUCAUCCCGACUUACCAACCCGAUGCAAACUGCGAAUACCGGAGAAUGUUAUCACGGGAGACACACGGCGGGUGCUAACGUCCGUCGUGAAGAGGGAAACAACCCAGACCGCCAGCUAAGGUCCCAAAGUCAUGGUUAAGUGGGAAACGAUGUGGGAAGGCCCAGACAGCCAGGAUGUUGGCUUAGAAGCAGCCAUCAUUUAAAGAAAGCGUAAUAGCUCACUGGUCGAGUCGGCCUGCGCGGAAGAUGUAACGGGGCUAAACCAUGCACCGAAGCUGCGGCAGCGACGCUGAUGCGUUGUUGGGUAGGGGAGCGUUCUGUAAGCCUGCGAAGGUGUGCUGUGAGGCAUGCUGGAGGUAUCAGAAGUGCGAAUGCUGACAUAAGUAACGAUAAAGCGGGUGAAAAGCCCGCUCGCCGGAAGACCAAGGGUUCCUGUCCAACGUUAAUCGGGGCAGGGUGAGUCGACCCCUAAGGCGAGGCCGAAAGGCGUAGUCGAUGGGAAACAGGUUAAUAUUCCUGUACUUGGUGUUACUGCGAAGGGGGGACGGAGAAGGCUAUGUUGGCCGGGCGACGGUUGUCCCGGUUUAAGCGUGUAGGCUGGUUUUCCAGGCAAAUCCGGAAAAUCAAGGCUGAGGCGUGAUGACGAGGCACU